Chloebia gouldiae (Gouldian finch) is the source of this 1557-nucleotide long non-coding RNA. The record is from Ensembl. NCBI's taxonomy places the organism in Eukaryota, Metazoa, Chordata, Aves, Passeriformes, Passeridae.
UGGGGGGCCUCCCUUGGGGGCGGCGCGCGGGCAGCCGCGUUGCUAUGGUAACAGCGGGUUCCAAUCAGGCACCGAGCGGGGCAGCCGCGUUGCCAUGGCAGCGGGGGCCUUCCGUGAGGCCGGCGCGCAACAUGGCGGCGCCCAGGGCGAGCGCGGGCCCGGGUGAGGGAACGGGAAAGGGAAAGGGAACGGGAAAACGGGAAAGGGAACGGGAAAGGGAAAACGGGAGCGGGAAAGGGAGUGGGAUCGGGAAAGGGAAAACGGGAACGGGAAUGGGAAAGGGAAAACGGGAAAGGGAACAGGAAUGGGAACGGGAGCGGGAAACGGGAGUGGGAAAGGGAACGGGUGCGGAAAUGGGAAAGGGAACAGGAACGGGAAAGGGAGCGAGAACGGGAAUGGGACACGGUAGCGGGAAACGGGAAAAUGGGAACGGGAAACGGGAGUGGGAAAGGGAACGGGAAAGGGAAAUGGGAGCGGGAACGGGAAAGGGAAACGGGAAAACGGGACCAGGAAAGGGGAAAACGGGAACGGGAAACGGGAGCGGAAACGGGAGCGGGAACUGGAAUGGGAAAAUGGGACCGGGAACGGGACUGGGAAAUGGGAACGGGGAAACGGGAACGGGAACUAGAAAGGCAACGGGAAUGGGAGCGGGGCCGGGACUGGGAACAGGAGUGGGAACGGGAACUGGAAUGGGAAAACGGGACCCAGAACGGGACUGGGAACGGGAGCGGGAGUGGAAACAGGAAAGGGAACGGGAAUGGGAAAGCGGGAAAACGGGACCCGGAAGGGGAAAGGGAACGGGAACGGGACUGGGAGUGGGCCCCGAGCAGCCUCCCCGUCCCCUCAGGGCCGCCACCGGCCUCAGGCGGGCAGAGCCGGGAUCGCCCGGGAAUGGUGGAGAGACCGGGCCGGGCCUGGGUGAGUGCCGGGAGACAGGGCAGGGAUCCCGCUGGGAUCCAGCCGGGGAAUCCACGGGAGGGAUUCAGGGGAGGGAUCCAGCUGUGGGAUCCAGGCAGGAUCCAGCUGUGAUCCCCUCGUGUCUCACCUUUGCUGUGUGGGGAAUUUCAGCACUUCCAUUUCUCCCAAGGGAAUUUUGUCUCUCCCCAGGCUGCCAGGGCCCGGAGCAGGUCACCAGAUCCACUCGAGGACGUGCUCGGGGAGCUCCUGGGAUCCGAUGAGGAGGCCCCGGCUCCGCCCUCCCGAGGCUCCCGUGCCUCCUUCCCACAGGAGCCGAAUCACCGGGAUCACCCGGAUCCUGUGGAUCACCUGGAUGAGCUGGACGCGCUGGAUGCAGAAAUCCUGGGAAUGGCCAGAGCCGGGUCCAGGCCGGGGAAACGCGGGAAGGGGCCGGGUCCCCAAACAGGUACCAGGAAUUCCCAUGGGAUCGACCCCAGUGCUGUGGGAUCGACCCCAUCCCGUGGGAUCAACCCCAUUCCAUGGGAUCAACCCCAUUCCAUGGGAUCAACCCUAUUCUAUGGGAUCAGUUCCAUUCCCACGGGAUCAACCCCAUCCCAUGGGAUCAACCCCAUCCCAUGGGAUCAACCCCAUCCCUUGGGA